Chionomys nivalis (European snow vole) is the source of this 220-nucleotide long non-coding RNA. RefSeq lists it as uncharacterized. The transcript has 3 exons. The record is from RefSeq and is a predicted model, not a curated record. NCBI's taxonomy places the organism in Eukaryota, Metazoa, Chordata, Mammalia, Rodentia, Cricetidae.
UAGCAAUGUUUGUUGAAUGAAGAGGCUGACUCACAUGGAGGAGGGGGCAGUGAUGGAAAGCUGACCAAGACGACCAAGACAAGUUUCCGUGUGCGUUCAGAUGACAAAGCAAGCUUUCCUUGGACCUCUGGGUGGGAGAUGCAGCUUCUUCUUUCCCACAGACUUCAAGACAAGCAACAAGAAACACUGCCUCUAGGAAAUGGAGCCAGUCUAGAUGCCC